CCUACGGGUGGCAGCAGUGGGGAAUAUUGGGCAAUGGGCGCAAGCCUGACCCAGCAACGCCGCGUGAAGGAAGAAGGCCUUCGGGUUGUAAACUUCUUUUCUCAGGGACGAAAAAAGUGCCGGUACCGCAGGAAUAAGCCACGGCAAACCGCGUCCCAGCGGCCGCGGAAAUACGAAGGUGGCAAGCGUAAUUCGGAUUUACUGGGUGGAAAGGGCGUGUAGGCGGGAUGGAAAGUCAGAUGUGAAAACCAGGGGCUCAACCUGUGACCUGCGUUUGAAACUGCAGUUCUUGAGUUCUGGAGAGGUAGACGGAAUUCCUGGUGUAGCGGUGAAAUGCGUAGAUAGCAGGAGGAACACCAGUGGCGAAGGCGGUCUACUGGACAGCAACUGACGCUGAGGCACGAAAGCGUGGGGAGCAAACAGGAUUAGAUACCCUUGUAGUC
Molecule: ribosomal RNA, 443 nt
Filed under: uncultured bacterium
Lineage: Bacteria
Description: partial 16S ribosomal RNA
Rfam family: Bacterial small subunit ribosomal RNA
Source: RNAcentral